RNAcentral lists this ribosomal RNA (437 nucleotides) under Wolbachia endosymbiont of Aphis gossypii. Its description in RNAcentral is "bacterial SSU rRNA". It matches the Rfam family "Bacterial small subunit ribosomal RNA", at positions 992 to 1428 of the family's 1533-position model. The record is from RNAcentral. Lineage: Bacteria; Pseudomonadati; Pseudomonadota; Alphaproteobacteria; Rickettsiales; Anaplasmataceae.
CAUACCUAUUCGAAGGGAUAGGGUCGGCUCGGCCGGAUUUUACACAAGUGUUGCAUGGCUGUCGUCAGCUCGUGUCGUGAGAUGUUGGGUUAAGUCCCGCAACGAGCGCAACCCUCAUCCUUAGUUGCCAUCAGGUAAUGCUGAGUACUUUAAGGAAACUGCCAGUGAUAAGCUGGAGGAAGGUGGGGAUGAUGUCAAGUCAUCAUGGCCCUUAUGGAGUGGGCUACAUACGUGCUACAAUGGUGAUUACAAUGGGCUGCAAGGUCGCAAGGCUGAGCUAAUCCUAAAAAAUCAUCUCAGUUCGGAUUGUUCUCUGCAACUCGAGAGCAUGAAGUUGGAAUCGCUAGUAAUCGUGGAUCAGCAUGCCACGGUGAAUACGCUCUCGGGUCUUGUACACACUGCCCGUCACGCCAUGGGAAUGGGUUUCACUCGAAGCU